GCCGGGGUUUCUUUACCAGGUACUGUCAUUAUCAUCCCUGGCGAAAGAGCUUUACGACCCUAGGGCCUUCAUCACUCACGCGGCAUCGCUAGAUCAGGCUUUCGCCCAUUGUCUAAGAUUCCCC
RNAcentral lists this ribosomal RNA (124 nucleotides) under uncultured bacterium. RNAcentral's name for it is "partial 16S ribosomal RNA". The record is from RNAcentral.